CAAUCAUCUGCCUCCUUCUGUGCCUGCCUGGCUGCCCCUACCCUGGGGCUCCCUCCUAGCCCCCACCUCACCUACUGGCUCACUGAGACAGAGCCAAACAUGAAAGGGAAGGUGACGGCCUGGCCAUAGGGCCCAGGAAAAUGCAGGUAUCAUUAACAGCCUGGAGCACUGUGGCCUGUCCACUCUCAACCCUCUGCUGCCCACCCCUUCCUGGAAUAGACCCCAGGCCACAUACAGAGGGGGCAAGCCCAAGAUGCUGACGAUACGACAGUGAAUACAACAUGAAAAAACAAGCACACUUCUCACCCCUAUGGAGCUUUAUUCUGGUCAGGCAGAAGGAGAAGGAAAUGUAAACAUGCAAGGUCAGGUACUGCUGUGAAGCAAAAUAAAGCUGUGGGUACUGUGCGAAGGAUA
RNAcentral lists this long non-coding RNA (414 nucleotides) under Homo sapiens (human). RNAcentral describes it as "HSALNT0334328". Lineage: Eukaryota; Metazoa; Chordata; Mammalia; Primates; Hominidae. The record is from RNAcentral.